This 709-nucleotide long non-coding RNA is filed under the name Mytilus galloprovincialis (Mediterranean mussel). The record is from RNAcentral. Lineage: Eukaryota; Metazoa; Mollusca; Bivalvia; Mytilida; Mytilidae.
CCUUUGGACAUUGUAAACAAUAUUAUUAAUACUCAAAUUAUCAAUUAUCAAAAUUAUCAAUGUCUGUCAUUUUAUGAGUAGUUUUCAGCUUUCGCCUUAAAUAUCGGAGUCGAACAGUUAUUCGUCAGUGUAGUCUCGUCGGUGUGAUCCAGAUAGGAGUGCUUCCAAAGCCAACCAGGCUCAGCUACUCAGGAGAAACGCUAACUCAAAAGACAGCUCAACACAACUGUAAUCAUUCAACCAGACAACAUCAACUUAGAAUAUUUGGAACAUUUUGGACUUUAACUUUAAACUGUGAAUUGGAUUAGUGAAAUUAGUGACUUUAUUAUUUGGAACAUUUGGACUUUAUUUGUUUGUAAAUUGUUUUGGCAUCAUUAUUAUUAUUUGGACCUGUUACUAUAUAAAAUUGUUACAACUUGCUGCUUGCUUUAUAGUUUUGCCUGCCAUUGCUUAAGUCUUGCGAAAGACUGACCCCCUGUGCCUUGGGCUGUGCAUGUUCGAUAGUCCCCCUUAAACUCGACGUGCAUUGGCUCUUGGUGACAGAUUUGGUGGCGGGCCCGUUGGCAUCAUUUCGAUCCAUUUAGCUUUGGCAUGGCAUUAUUAUUAGCAACAGCUUUCAAAAUUACUUUUAAAUUAUCUACUUACAAAAUUUGUGAAGAAAUUUCAUAAAUAAAAUUCAACUAAAGGAACAGCAGAGAAUGAGAAUCAA